AGGGAGUGAUUAGUAGCCCAAAACGCAGCGUUUAGAUCUCUCUCCGUUUGGUAUAAACAAAACAACCAACAAGCUUCCAAUCUCUGAAAGCACAGGAGAAAAAUUAUCGAAGCAUAAAUGGCGACCUCGAGGCUCUAUCGACUCUCCUCGCAAAUCCACCGUCUCUCUGCUUCAUCAUCUCCCUUAACCAAAUCCAUCAUCACCCGCUCCUCCGCCACCGCCGCGGCUGAAGUAGCUUCCCGAGCAGGCACCGCC
This 255-nucleotide long non-coding RNA is filed under the name Linum usitatissimum (flax). Its description in RNAcentral is "long non-coding RNA (LUSI_LNC000917)". The record is from RNAcentral. Lineage: Eukaryota; Viridiplantae; Streptophyta; Magnoliopsida; Malpighiales; Linaceae.